GCACAAGCGGUGGAGCAUGUGUUAAUUCGAAGCAACGCGAAGAACCUUACCAGGUCUUGACAUCCGAUGCUAUUCUAGAGAUAGAAAGUUACUUCGGUACAUCGGUGACAGGUGGUGCAUGGUUGUCGUCAGCUCGUGUCGUGAGAUGUUGGGUUAAGUCCCGCAACGAGCGCAACCCCUAUUGUUAGUUGCCAUCAUUCAGUUGGGCACUCUAGCGAGACUGCCGGUAAUAAACCGGAGGAAGGUGGGAUGACGUCAAAUCAUCAUGCCCCUUAUGACCUGGGCUACACACGUGCUACAAUGGUUGGUACAACGAGUUGCGAGUCGGUGACGGCGAGCUAAUCUCUUAAAGCCAAUCUCAGUUCGGAUUGUAGGCUGCAACUCGCCUACAUGAAGUCGGAAUCGCUAGUAAUCGCGGAUCAGCACGCCGCGGUGAAUACGUUCCCGGGCCUU
This 453-nucleotide ribosomal RNA is filed under the name uncultured Streptococcus sp. Its description in RNAcentral is "bacterial SSU rRNA". It matches the Rfam family "Bacterial small subunit ribosomal RNA", at positions 923 to 1382 of the family's 1533-position model. Lineage: Bacteria; Bacillati; Bacillota; Bacilli; Lactobacillales; Streptococcaceae. The record is from RNAcentral.